RNAcentral lists this ribosomal RNA (253 nucleotides) under uncultured bacterium. RNAcentral's name for it is "partial 16S ribosomal RNA". It matches the Rfam family "Bacterial small subunit ribosomal RNA", at positions 524 to 776 of the family's 1533-position model. The record is from RNAcentral.
UACGUAGGGUGCAAGCGUUAAUCGGAAUUACUGGGCGUAAAGGGCGCGUAGGCGGCGCGACAAGUCACUUGUGAAAUCUCUGGGCUCAACCCAGAACGGUCAAGUGAUACUGUCGUGCUAGAGUGCGGAAGGGGCAACUGGAAUUCUUGGUGUAGCGGUGAAAUGCGUAGAGAUCGGGAGGAACACCUGUGGCGAAGGCGGCCGUCUGGGCCGACCCUGACGCUGAGGCGCGAAGGCGUGGGGAGCGAACGGG